Long non-coding RNA from Formica exsecta, 654 nucleotides. RefSeq lists it as uncharacterized. Lineage: Eukaryota; Metazoa; Arthropoda; Insecta; Hymenoptera; Formicidae. The record is from RefSeq and is a predicted model, not a curated record. The transcript has 2 exons.
CUGAAUACGCGCACACGAUUGAUAAUACAGGAUAUGGCAGUGUGAGAUUGGAUUUUGUCCUUUCCAAUCGGUGCCGACUCAAAUCCUAGAAGCAAAUAAAUAUGGAAUGAGAAACAAGAUUAGCUAGAUAAUAUUUUUAAGAUAAAUUGAUAAAAAUAAUUGCAGGUAAUAUAAUAUUCGGCAAAGUGCGAAUUGUAAGAGGAGUCUAUCUCAUUUCUGUAAUAAAAGUGUCACGAUGCAUUUGGUGAUUCCGGGACACUUUGUAAAUAUGUUGCAAAUCUUGCAAUUUCGAAAGAACAAACGAAUCAUUCUGUUUCAUUCUGAAAUUGUCUUGGAAAAUGACAUAACGUAAUAAUAAAAAUCAAGAGUAAUAAUUAUUAUAAAAUGAUUGAGAAGAAAUUAUUAGAUUCAGAAUUCGAAUGGAUUUUUCGAACUUGCACGAAUGCUAUCAACGUUUAUAUAACGAUGAUGCAUUUUAUAUUUUAUGACAACAUUUUAAAUUUACAAGCAGAAAAUUCUGAGAUUUCCCUUUUAACAUAUACACUAUUCAUGACAGCGUUGGAUCUUUUCGCAUACUGUAUUUACCAGUGAACAGAAUAAAUUGUAAACAGAAAGAAAAAUUGUAAUAAAAAGAGACAUUAAUAAUGUAUAUCA